This 245-nucleotide ribosomal RNA is filed under the name uncultured bacterium. RNAcentral's name for it is "partial 16S ribosomal RNA". It matches the Rfam family "Bacterial small subunit ribosomal RNA", at positions 91 to 334 of the family's 1533-position model. The record is from RNAcentral.
CCUAGUGGCGGACGGGUGAGUAACGCGUGAGUAACCUGCCUUUCAGAGGGGAAUAACGUUCUGAAAAGAACGCUAAUACCGCAUAACGUACAGUUACCGCAUGGUAGCAGUACCAAAGGAGCAAUCCGCUGAAAGAUGGACUCGCGUCCGAUUAGCUAGUUGGUGGGGUAACGGCCCACCAAGGCAACGAUCGGUAGCCGGACUGAGAGGUUGAACGGCCACAUUGGGACUGAGACACGGCCCAG